This 349-nucleotide unclassified non-coding RNA is filed under the name Bursera schlechtendalii. Its description in RNAcentral is "partial external transcribed spacer". Lineage: Eukaryota; Viridiplantae; Streptophyta; Magnoliopsida; Sapindales; Burseraceae. The record is from RNAcentral.
UUCGGUAUCCUGUGUUGCUUACCUAUCGAAAGGAAUCCGACGGUUUCGUUGGUCCCUCUCCGCCCCAUGCCCUCGCGGGUGGUGGGGUGGACGUCAGGCAAGCCUCGUGUUCCCGGCACGCCUCGCCCAGUUGCGUGGCUGCCCAGGCCCACGGGGCGCGUUGCCCGUGCUCUCGGAUGCGGAACGUUGUGCGCGGGCGUGGGGUCUUUUGGCUCCGUCGGCCCGAGCAACGCAUUUGUCCCUCGACACGAACGACCGUCGAACCCGUCUUGAGCACGUCUCAUGCGGGCGUCGGCGUCGCGAAGGAAUGCUACCUGGUUGAUCCUGCCAGUAGUCAUAUGCUUGUCUC